This 674-nucleotide long non-coding RNA is filed under the name Anas platyrhynchos platyrhynchos (common mallard). RNAcentral describes it as "lncRNA (ENSAPLG00000023343.1)". Lineage: Eukaryota; Metazoa; Chordata; Aves; Anseriformes; Anatidae. The record is from RNAcentral.
AAGCCUCUGACGGGCUUCCUGCCUGGAAACCAGCGAGGGAAGCCGGGCAAGCGGCCUGGCUUUUUUCUUUUCUGACCCAAAUCUCGCAGUGUCCUUAAAGCCCAGCCCCGGCUUAGGAAGGCGCAGCGCCUCGCUGCUGGCUGGCAGCUGGCCGCAGAGCCGAAACGCCCGCGGGUCGCGGCCUCGGAGGGAGGAGGAGGUGGGAUGGGAGCUGUGUGUGUGGUUUCCCCUAGGUAAACAGCGAGUCCAAAGCCAACAUCACCUGCCUCGUGUACAGCCACGACGGCUCGGAGCUGUUGGCCAGCUACAACGACGAGGACAUCUAUCUCUUCAACUCCUCGCACAGCGAUGGGGCCGAGUACAUCAAGAGAUACAAGGGACACCGCAACAACGCCACGGUGAAAGGCGUCAAUUUUUACGGCCCAAAAAGCGAGUUCGUGGUGAGCGGCAGCGACUGCGGCCACAUCUUCCUGUGGGAGAAAUCGUCCUGCCAGAUCGUGCAGUUCAUGGAGGGCGACAAGGGCGGCGUGGUGAGUUGUGCCCCCCCCCCAGGCUGCUGGCUGCCCUCCGCUUCGUCACUCCUACACCAUUUUUCCUCCCCUUUUCACACAUUCCCCUUGAAUUCCCCCCAGAAGCCAAGCAGGGGCCCCAGCAGCCCCCAAAGCCAUGUCCGU